This 68-nucleotide transfer RNA is filed under the name Longpotamon yangtsekiense. RNAcentral's name for it is "tRNA-Gln". The record is from RNAcentral. Lineage: Eukaryota; Metazoa; Arthropoda; Malacostraca; Decapoda; Potamidae.
UAUAUAUGGGUGUGUAAGCACAAUAAAUUUUGAUUUUUUAAGAGAUGGUUGAAUUCCGUUAUAUAUAA